RNAcentral lists this transfer RNA (72 nucleotides) under Treponema sp. RNAcentral describes it as "tRNA-Arg". It matches the Rfam family "tRNA". From Rfam's summary of the family: Transfer RNA (tRNA) molecules are approximately 80 nucleotides in length. Their secondary structure includes four short double-helical elements and three loops (D, anti-codon, and T loops). The record is from RNAcentral. Lineage: Bacteria; Pseudomonadati; Spirochaetota; Spirochaetia; Treponematales; Treponemataceae.
GGCCCUAUAGCUCAAUGGAUAGAGCCCAGGCCUUCUAAGCCUGUCAUGAUGGUUCGAUUCCGUCUAGGGUCA